CAAUACAUGGGCUGGCGAGUGGCGCACGGGUGCGUAACACGUAUGCAAUUUGCCCAUAACUGGGGGAUAGCCCUCCGAAAGGAGGAUUAAUACCCCAUAACCCAGCGAGGUGGCAUCACCUUUCUGGUAAAUCUCCGGAGGUUAUGGAUGAGCAUGCGUCCGAUUAGCUAGGUGGUGAGGUAACGGCUCACCAAGGCAACGACCGGUAGGGGGUCUGAGAGGAUGAUCCCCCACACGGGUACUGAGACACGGACCCGACUCCUACGGGAGGCAGCAGUAAGGAAUAUUGGACAAUGGAGGCAACUCUGAUCCAGCCAUGCCGCGUGAAGGAUGAAGGCCUUACGGGUUGUAAACUUCUUUUCUCUUAGAAAAAACUACUGGUUUCGUACCGGUACUGAUUGUACAAGAGGAAUAAGCAUCCGCUAACUUCGUGCCAGCAGCCGCGGUAAUACGAAGGAUGCAAGCGUUAUCCGGAUUCACUGGGUUUAAAGGGUGUGCAGGUGGGGUAAUAAGUCAGUGGUGAAAGCCCCCGACUCAAUCGGGGAACUGCCAUAGAUACUGUUAUUCUUGAGUGUGGCUGAGGCGGAUGGAAUAUAACAUGUAGCGGUGAAAUGCUUAGAUAUGUCAUAGAACACCGAUCGCGAAGGCAGUCCGCCUAACCAUUACUGACACUGAAACACGAAAGUG
Molecule: ribosomal RNA, 687 nt
Filed under: uncultured bacterium
Lineage: Bacteria
Description: bacterial SSU rRNA
Rfam family: Bacterial small subunit ribosomal RNA
Source: RNAcentral